This 2969-nucleotide ribosomal RNA is filed under the name Chlorokybus atmophyticus. It matches the Rfam family "Bacterial large subunit ribosomal RNA". Lineage: Eukaryota; Viridiplantae; Streptophyta; Chlorokybophyceae; Chlorokybales; Chlorokybaceae. The record is from RNAcentral.
GUCAAAUGAAUUAAGGGCUUACGGUGGAUACCUAGGCACCCAGAGACGAAGAAGGGCGUACUAACCGACGAAACGCUUCGGGGAGCUGAAAAGAAGCAUUGAUCCGGAGAUUCCCGAAUAGGGCAACCUCUUGAACUUCCUGCUGAAUUCAUAGGCAGGAUAGAGACAACCUGGCGAACUGAAACAUCUUAGUAGCCAGAGGAAAAGAAAGCAAAAGCGAUUCCCUUAGUAGCGGCGAGCGAACUGGGAACAGUCUAAACCGGUAGGUAACCUACCGGGGUUGUGGGACAGCAAAAUCAAACCAAGAUUUGCUAGGCGAAGCAAUUGAAUGUUGCACCAUAGAUGGUGAAAGUCCAGUAACCAAAAGCAUCUCUUGGCUUGUGCUGAAUCCCGAGUAGCAUGGGGCACGUGAAAUCCCGUGUGAAUCAGCGAGGACCACCUCGUAAGACUAAAUACUCCUGGGUGACCGAUAGCGAAACAGUACCGUGAGGGAAAGGUGAAAAGAACCCCCAUCGGGGAGUGAAAGAGACCAUGAAACCGUGAGCUUACAAGCAGUGGGAGGCAGAUGGCUGACCGCGUGCCUAUUGAAGAAUGAGCCGGCGACUUAUAGGCAGUGGCUUGGUUAAGGCCAUUAAGGCUGGAGCCAUAGCGAAAGCGAGUCUGAAUAGGGCGAUGUCACUGUUUAUGGACCCGAACCCGGGUGAUCUAACCAUGGCCAGGAUGAAGCUUUGGUGAAACUCAGUGGAAGUCCGAACCGACCGAUGUUGAAAAAUCGGCGGAUGAGUUGUGGUUAGGGGUGAAAUACCAAUCGAACUCGGAGCUAGCUGGUUCUCCCCGAAAUGCGUUUAGGCGCAGCGGUUGAACAUAAAUAAAAACGAAUAAACACGUCAAAAAAAAGGGCUGUCUAGGGGUAAAGCACUGUUUCGGUGCGGGCUGCGAGAGCGGUACCAAAUCGAUGCAAACUCUGAAUACUAGAACAACCUUAAGUCAACCAGUGAGACGGUGGGGGAUAAGCUCCAUCGUCAAGAGGGAAACAGCCCAGAUCACCAGCUAAGGCCCCUAAAUGGCCGCUAAGUGGCAAAGGAGGUGAGAGUGCAAAGACAACCAGGAGGUUUGCCUAGAAGCAGCCACCCUUGAAAGAGUGCGUAAUAGCUCACUGGUCAAGCGCUCUUGCGCCGAAAAUGAACGGGACUAAGCGGCCUGCCGAAGCUGUGAGAUGCAGCCAAGCUGCAUCGGUAGGGGAGCGUUCCGCUAUAGGGUGAAGCAUCAACGUGAGUUGGUGUGGACGAAGCGGAAGUGAGAAUGUCGGCUUGAGUAACGCAAACAUUGGUGAGAAUCCAAUGCCCCGAAAACCUAAGGGUUCCUCCGCAAGGCUCGUCCACGGAGGGUGAGUCAGGGCCUAAGGAAAGGCCGAAAGGCGUAUUCGAUGGACAACAGGUUAAUAUUCCUGUACUGCCAACUUGUUGGUACCGAGGGACGGAGAAGGCUAGGUUAGCCGGACGAUGGUUACCGGUUUAAACGAUCGAGGCUGUGAGAGGUAGAGAAAAUACCUUGAGCUAAGACGUGAAUACGAGGCACCAAAAGGUGCUGAAGUAACUGAUGUCAAGCUUCCAAGAAAAGCUCGAACUACCAUAAACAAGUGGCACCUGUACCCGAAACCGACACAGGUAGGUAGGUAGAGUAUACCUAGGGGCGCGAGAUAACUCUCUCUAAGGAACUCGGCAAAAUGGCCCCGUAACUUCGGGAGAAGGGGUACCCCGUAAGGGGUCGCAGUGACCAGGCCCAGGCGACUGUUUACCAAAAACACAGGUCUCCGCUAAGUCGUAAGACAACAUAUGGGGGCUGACGCCUGCCCAGUGCCGGAAGGUUAAGGAAGUCGGUUACCCGUAAGGGGAAGCUGGCGACCGAAGCCCCGGUGAACGGCGGCCGUAACUAUAACGGUCCUAAGGUAGCGAAAUUCCUUGUCGGGUAAGUUCCGACCCGCACGAAAGGCGUAACGAUCUGGGCACUGUCUCGGAGAGAGACUCGGUGAAAUAGACAUGUCUGUGAAGAUGCGGACUACCUGCACCUGGACAGAAAGACCCUAUGAAGCUUUACUGUACCCUGGAAUUGGGUUUGGGCUCUUCUUGCGCAGCUUAGGUGGAAGGCUAAGAAGGUAUUCUUCCGGGAAUACUGGAGCCAACAGUGAGAUACCACUCUGGAAGAGCUAGGAUCCUAAUCAACAGCCUCAGAACAGGCGUUGAAACAGUUUCAGGUGGGCAGUUUGACUGGGGCGGUCACCUCCUAAAAGGUAACGGAGGUGUGCAAAGGUUCCCUCAGGCUGGACGGAAAUCAGCCGUAGAGUGUAAAGGCAGAAGGGAGCUUGACUGCAAGACCUACAAGUCGAGCAGGGACGAAAGUCGGCCUUAGUGAUCCGACGGUGCCGAGUGGAAGGGCCGUCGCUCAACGGAUAAAAGUUACUCUAGGGAUAACAGGCUGAUCUCCCCCAAGAGUUCACAUCGACGGGGAGGUUUGGCACCUCGAUGUCGGCUCAUCGCAACCUGGGGCGGAAGUACGUCCCAAGGGUUGGGCUGUUCGCCCAUUAAAGCGGUACGUGAGCUGGGUUCAGAACGUCGUGAGACAGUUCGGUCCAUAUCCGGUGCAGGCAUUAGAGCAUUGAGAGGAUCUUUCCCUAGUACGAGAGGACCGGGAAGGACGCACCGCUGGUGUACCAGUUAUCGUGCCAACGGUAAACGCUGGGUAGCCAAGUGCGGAGAGGAUAACUGCUGAAAGCAUCUAAGUAGGAAGCCCACCUCAAGAUGAGUGCUCUCUUCGGUUAACCACCGCAACCGUUGAAAAACCUUUUGGUUUUUGGUUGUGGCUGUAGCGAGCCGAUUAAGGUCACGGCAAGACGAGCCGUUCAUAGGUGUCAAGUGGAAGUACAGCAAUGUAUGCAGCUGAGACAUCCUAACAGACCGAGGAAUUAGACU